This 730-nucleotide ribosomal RNA is filed under the name uncultured Acaulospora. RNAcentral describes it as "SSU rRNA". It matches the Rfam family "Eukaryotic small subunit ribosomal RNA", at positions 348 to 1077 of the family's 1831-position model. The record is from RNAcentral. Lineage: Eukaryota; Fungi; Glomeromycota; Glomeromycetes; Diversisporales; Acaulosporaceae.
AGUUUUAACGGGUAACGGGGAAUUAGGGUUCGAUUCCGGAGAGGGAGCCUGAGAAACGGCUACCACAUCCAAGGAAGGCAGCAGGCGCGCAAAUUACCCAAUCCCGACACGGGGAGGUAGUGACAAUAAAUAACAAUAUGGGGCUCUUACGAGUCUCGUAAUUGGAAUGAGUACAAUUUAAAUCUCUUAACGAGGAACAAUUGGAGGGCAAGUCUGGUGCCAGCAGCCGCGGUAAUUCCAGCUCCAAUAGCGUAUAUUAAAGUUGUUGCAGUUAAAAAGCUCGUAGUUGAAUUUCGGGAUUUAUCCGUCGGUCGGGCUUUUGGGUCUGUACUGGCGUGAUGGAUUCCUACCUUCUGAAUAACCGGCAUGUCAUUAAUUUGGUGCGCUGGGGAAGCAGGACUGUUACCUUGAAAAAAUUAGAGUGCUUAAAGCAGGCUAUUGCCUGAAUACAUUAGCAUGGAAUAAUGAAAUAGGACGGCAUGGUUCUAUUUUGUUGGUUUCUAGGAUCACCGUAAUGAUUAAUAGGGAUAGUUGGGGGCAUUAGUAUUCAAUUGUCAGAGGUGAAAUUCUUGGAUUUAUUGAAGACUAACUUCUGCGAAAGCAUUUGCCAAGGAUGUUUUCAUUAAUCAAGAACGAAAGUUAGGGGAUCGAAGACGAUCAGAUACCGUCGUAGUCUUAACCAUAAACUAUGCCGACUAGGGAUCGGACGAUGUUAAUUUUUUAAUGACUC